This 214-nucleotide small RNA is filed under the name Arabidopsis thaliana (thale cress). RNAcentral describes it as "ATSL042640". Lineage: Eukaryota; Viridiplantae; Streptophyta; Magnoliopsida; Brassicales; Brassicaceae. The record is from RNAcentral.
AUCAGUAGGGUGACACUUAGGUAUGGGUGGUAUACUCCUCUUUCCUUCACAAUCAUCAAAAGAAGAAACAAGCACUCGACGAGAAACUCGUGGCUUGCUUAACCGUGAAACAGUCUUGGAAAAUUUAAAAGUCUUACAGAUGAAAUCAGGAGGUGUAGGUGGAGGAGAUGAGUACCUUAGCCGUUUAGGAGGUGGAUUGAGUAGUAGAGGUGCA